Long non-coding RNA from Austrofundulus limnaeus, 593 nucleotides. RefSeq lists it as uncharacterized. The transcript has 2 exons. Lineage: Eukaryota; Metazoa; Chordata; Actinopteri; Cyprinodontiformes; Rivulidae. The record is from RefSeq and is a predicted model, not a curated record.
GGAAAGUUUGCGUUACCGACAUGGAUGGGAAAAUAAAUGCCAUAAUGGGUGAGGUUUCUGUGUCAGGCAUUCCAUCUGAGGAUGUUCCCCUGGACACCGACUUACAUCAACCUGGAUGUGAGGAUAUGGCUAAUACACCUGACAGUAAUGAAGAGGAGCACAUGGAACCGCAGGCCGGACCAGCUGUGUCAGCCCCCCGCCAUCUCCCACGCACACAAGUGGUGUCAGAUGCCAUUCUGAAAAAUCAAGAAAGCAUUUUAAAAUGUCUGCAAAAUAUGUCUGGCACUUUGGAGAAAAUAUCAGACYGUCUGGCAUGCAUAGCUGAUGUGCUGACUAAAUCMCAACAAAAUAAAAUGUGAAUUAAAAAAGUCCAAGUCUGAAUAAAGCUGUUCAUUAUAUUAAAUUAAUUAGGCUACAACAUCAUGGCCUGCCUUAAAGCCGUGCAAUUAACUGCUGUCUUGUGAUGAUAGCAUUUUCCUGGUGUGGUCCAUGUGGGCGGUCUUGUGGCAUUUCUUCUGCUGGUGCUGGAUCGGGGAAUGGAACGCCUUCCUUCACUGCAAUAUUGUGCAAUAUGCAGCAUGCCAGAAUAAUUU